Parambassis ranga (Indian glassy fish) is the source of this 165-nucleotide small nuclear RNA. Its record names the gene U1. It matches the Rfam family "U1 spliceosomal RNA". Rfam says of the family: U1 is a small nuclear RNA (snRNA) component of the spliceosome (involved in pre-mRNA splicing). Its 5' end forms complementary base pairs with the 5' splice junction, thus defining the 5' donor site of an intron. NCBI's taxonomy places the organism in Eukaryota, Metazoa, Chordata, Actinopteri, Ambassidae. The record is from Ensembl.
AUACUUACCUGGCAGGGGAGAUACCAUGAUCAAGAAGGUGGUUCACCCAGGGCGAGGCUCAGCCAUUGCACUCUAGGUUGUGCUGACCCCUGCGAAUUCCCCAAAUGUGGGAAUCUUGACUGCAUAAUUUCUGGUAGUGGGGGACUGCGUUCGCGCUCUCUCUUC